This 101-nucleotide microRNA precursor is filed under the name Daphnia pulex (common water flea). Its description in RNAcentral is "microRNA dpu-mir-31 precursor". Its record names the gene dpu-mir-31. The stretch from base 10 to 92 matches the Rfam family "mir-31 microRNA precursor family". Lineage: Eukaryota; Metazoa; Arthropoda; Branchiopoda; Diplostraca; Daphniidae. The record is from miRBase by way of RNAcentral.
GAAUGGAGGGUUUCGCGCGAAGGCAAGAUGUCGGCAUAGCUGACGUGCUAAUCCGAGUGUAGCUGUGUUACAUCGUGCCAACGUGAACCGCUCCCAAUGAC